RNAcentral lists this long non-coding RNA (1477 nucleotides) under Rattus norvegicus (Norway rat). Its description in RNAcentral is "long non-coding RNA NONRATT028022". Lineage: Eukaryota; Metazoa; Chordata; Mammalia; Rodentia; Muridae. The record is from RNAcentral.
CAAAAUCUCGAUGUGAGUUCCCUCUGGCCUCCUCAGGGAGGAGGGUGAAUACUGUGUGCCUCUGCCCACCCACCCCCACCCCCAGGAGCUGCAGAAGCAGGCAGAGAUGAUGGAGUUUGAGAUCUCCCUGAAAGCCCUCUCCGUGCUUCGAUACAUCACAGAUUGCAUGGAUAGGUGGGCCACCCUCCAGGUCCUGGGCACACGAUAAAGGGUUGUGCGUCCUGGCCCGUAGCCUCUCUAACCAACCGCCCUUCUCCCGAACCCCUAGCCUCUCCCUGAGCACACUGAACCGAAUGCUUACCACACACAACUUGCCCUGCCUCCUGGUGGAACUGCUAGAGCACAGUCCCUGGAGCCGGCGGGAAGGAGGUAAGGCUCUCUUCCCCCUACUUGCCUAAGACUGUAACUGGUUGCUUCCGGAACCUCCUUCAAGAUCAAUGGAAGUGUACAGCAUACACACUGAGGAUUCUGGGAUGCCUCACCCUAGAGGGGACUAGAUUUUGACUCUGAGGCAGGCAAGGCCUCUGAGUCAUUUAUUGAAAAUCAACCUUGUUCUGACAAAUCUGGUGGUCCAGGCUUUCAAACGAUGCCAGGUAAGGACAACACACUCUCUUUUUUUUUUCUUUUUUCUUUCUUUCUUUUUUUUUCCGGUGCUGGGGACCAAACCCAGGGCCUUGCGCUUGCUAAGCAAGCGUUCUACCACUGAGCUAAAUCCCCAACCCCAGGACGACACACUCUCAAAGUGAACACAACACCUCAUUCUCCUCCCCAGGCAAGCUGCAGCAUUUUGAGAGUGGCCGAUGGCAGACAGUGGCCCCCUCAGAGCAUCAAAAGCUGAACAAACUGGAUGGGCAAGUAUGGAUCGCCUUGUACAAUCUACUGCUCAGUCCUGAGGCCCGAACCCGUUACUGCCUUACAAACUUUGCCAAGGGACAGCUGCUUAAGGUGGAGAACUCAAAGACCCUACCCAUCCCCACUGUGCCCCGCCCAGCCCCGCCCCGCCCCGCCCCCAUAGCAUCCCUGUCUGUCCCCGCCCUCUUUCCACCACUUGGGCUUCAGAGGACAAGGGAGUUGGAAAGAUGCAAACCCUCCCAAGUACUCUCAGCCCCAACUUCAGGACUUCCUGUCUUUGGGCCCUCUGGCUAGGAACAGUUUCCCAAUGGCCUUCCCUGGAUACCUUGCAGCUUCAGGCCUUCCUCACCGACACACUGCUUGACCAGCUGCCCAACCUUGCUGAUCUGAAGAGUUUCCUGGCCCACCUGGCCCUGGUUGAAACUCAACCCCCUAAGAAGGACCUAGUGUUAGAACAGAUCCCAGAAAUCUGGGAUCGGCUGGAGCGAGAGAACAAAGGCAAGUGGCAGGCUAUCGCCAAGCACCAGCUUCAGCACGUAUUCAGCCUCUCCGAGAAGGAUCUUCGCCAACAAGCACAGAGGUGGGCUGAAACCUACAGGCUGGACGUCCUAGAGGCUGUAGCUCC